AUGAAUGACACCUCCUGUGCGAUUAUGAGCUGGAACGUCAGAGGGCUAAACUCGCCGGCAAAGAGAGCGGCGGUGAGCGGGGUAGUUAGCGCGCACAACCUAGUCAUCCUCUGUCUCCAAGAGACGAAGAUAGAUGCCUGGUCGCCGGCGCUCGUCCGGGAGAUUGGGGGCAGCCGUUUAGAUGGAUGUGCUGUGCUGCCCGCGAUCGGCACGUGCGGGGGAGCUGCCAUCUUUUGGGACUCAUCGUCAGCAAACUUGACAACACAUAGACUAGGUAGAUACUCCAUUACUGCUAGAGUUGAAAUGCUGCACUCAAAUACAGUUUUCUAG
This 330-nucleotide ribosomal RNA is filed under the name Triticum aestivum (bread wheat). RNAcentral's name for it is "partial small subunit ribosomal RNA". Lineage: Eukaryota; Viridiplantae; Streptophyta; Magnoliopsida; Poales; Poaceae. The record is from RNAcentral.